RNAcentral lists this ribosomal RNA (793 nucleotides) under uncultured Methanosarcina sp. Its description in RNAcentral is "bacterial SSU rRNA". It matches the Rfam family "Archaeal small subunit ribosomal RNA", at positions 88 to 879 of the family's 1478-position model. The record is from RNAcentral. Lineage: Archaea; Methanobacteriati; Methanobacteriota; Methanomicrobia; Methanosarcinales; Methanosarcinaceae.
GCUCAGUAACACGUGGAUAACCUGCCCUUGGGUCUGGGAUAACCCCGGGAAACUGGGGAUAAUACCGGAUAACGCAUAUAUGCUGGAAUGCUUUAUGCGUAAAAUGGAUUCGUCUGCCCAAGGAUGGGUCUGCGGCCUAUCAGGUAGUAGUGGGUGUAAUGUACCUACUAGCCUACAACGGGUACGGGUUGUGAGAGCAAGAGCCCGGAGAUGGAUUCUGAGACAUGAAUCCAGGCCCUACGGGGCGCAGCAGGCGCGAAAACUUUACAAUGCGGGAAACCGUGAUAAGGGGACACCGAGUGCCAGCAUCAUAUGUUGGCUGUCCAGAUGUGUAAAAUACAUCUGUUAGCAAGGGCCGGGCAAGACCGGUGCCAGCCGCCGCGGUAACACCGGCGGCCCGAGUGGUGAUCGUGAUUAUUGGGUCUAAAGGGUCCGUAGCCGGUUUGGUCAGUCCUCCGGGAAAUCUGACGGCUCAACCGUUAGGCUUUCGGUGGAUACUGCCAGACUUGGAACCGGGAGAGGUAAGAGGUACUACAGGGGUAGGAGUGAAAUCUUGUAAUCCCUGUGAGACCACCUGUGGCGAAGGCGUCUUACCAGAACGGGUUCGACGGUGAGGGACGAAAGCUGGGGGCACGAACCGGAUUAGAUACCCGGGUAGUCCCAGCCGUAAACGAUGCUCGCUAGGUGUCAGGCAUGGCGCGACCGUGUCUGGUGCCGCAGGGAAGCCGUGAAGCGAGCCACCUGGGAAGUACGGCCGCAAGGCUGAAACUUAAAGGAAUUGGCGGGGGAGCAC